UUAAAUUGAAGAGUUUGAUCAUGGCUCAGAUUGAACGCUGGCGGCAGGCCUAACACAUGCAAGUCGAACGGUAACAGAAAGCAGCUUGCUGCUUUGCUGACGAGUGGCGGACGGGUGAGUAAUGUCUGGGAAACUGCCUGAUGGAGGGGGAUAACUACUGGAAACGGUAGCUAAUACCGCAUAACGUCGCAAGACCAAAGAGGGGGACCUUCGGGCCUCUUGCCAUCGGAUGUGCCCAGAUGGGAUUAGCUAGUAGGUGGGGUAACGGCUCACCUAGGCGACGAUCCCUAGCUGGUCUGAGAGGAUGACCAGCCACACUGGAACUGAGACACGGUCCAGACUCCUACGGGAGGCAGCAGUGGGGAAUAUUGCACAAUGGGCGCAAGCCUGAUGCAGCCAUGUCGCGUGUAUGAAGAAGGCCUUCGGGUUGUAAAGUACUUUCAGCGGGGAGGAAGGGAGUAAAGUUAAUACCUUUGCUCAUUGACGUUACCCGCAGAAGAAGCACCGGCUAACUCCGUGCCAGCAGCCGCGGUA
This 534-nucleotide ribosomal RNA is filed under the name Escherichia coli. RNAcentral describes it as "bacterial SSU rRNA". It matches the Rfam family "Bacterial small subunit ribosomal RNA", at positions 1 to 522 of the family's 1533-position model. Lineage: Bacteria; Pseudomonadati; Pseudomonadota; Gammaproteobacteria; Enterobacterales; Enterobacteriaceae. The record is from RNAcentral.